GUCUCUAUAACUGAUGUCUUCAGAAUUUCCCCUCCUUGGAUAGUCUGUAUUCAAUCCCAGGUAUUUGCUCUUGAACUCUUCAUGAGUGAGGUCUGCAAAUUCAUUCAAUCCCAGCCAGUAGGUAGUAACUUCCCUGUUUCUAUGAUCAAUGUGCUUCGAGUUAUCUUUGAAGAACUCAAACAGAUGUAGCUUCUCUUCAGUGAAUUUGUAGAUUUUGCCAUGUUUAGACAUCCAUGAUUCGAAUAGUUCAUUGAGUUUAUCAAUGGAAGUCAGGUGCUCUGGCGAG
This 286-nucleotide unclassified non-coding RNA is filed under the name Hevea brasiliensis (rubber tree). Lineage: Eukaryota; Viridiplantae; Streptophyta; Magnoliopsida; Malpighiales; Euphorbiaceae. The record is from RNAcentral.